This 1346-nucleotide ribosomal RNA is filed under the name Lactiplantibacillus plantarum. RNAcentral's name for it is "bacterial SSU rRNA". It matches the Rfam family "Bacterial small subunit ribosomal RNA", at positions 74 to 1408 of the family's 1533-position model. Lineage: Bacteria; Bacillati; Bacillota; Bacilli; Lactobacillales; Lactobacillaceae. The record is from RNAcentral.
CAUGAUUUACAUUUGAGUGAGUGGCGAACUGGUGAGUAACACGUGGGAAACCUGCCCAGAAGCGGGGGAUAACACCUGGAAACAGAUGCUAAUACCGCAUAACAACUUGGACCGCAUGGUCCGAGUUUGAAAGAUGGCUUCGGCUAUCACUUUUGGAUGGUCCCGCGGCGUAUUAGCUAGAUGGUGGGGUAACGGCUCACCAUGGCAAUGAUACGUAGCCGACCUGAGAGGGUAAUCGGCCACAUUGGGACUGAGACACGGCCCAAACUCCUACGGGAGGCAGCAGUAGGGAAUCUUCCACAAUGGACGAAAGUCUGAUGGAGCAACGCCGCGUGAGUGAAGAAGGGUUUCGGCUCGUAAAACUCUGUUGUUAAAGAAGAACAUAUCUGAGAGUAACUGUUCAGGUAUUGACGGUAUUUAACCAGAAAGCCACGGCUAACUACGUGCCAGCAGCCGCGGUAAUACGUAGGUGGCAAGCGUUGUCCGGAUUUAUUGGGCGUAAAGCGAGCGCAGGCGGUUUUUUAAGUCUGAUGUGAAAGCCUUCGGCUCAACCGAAGAAGUGCAUCGGAAACUGGGAAACUUGAGUGCAGAAGAGGACAGUGGAACUCCAUGUGUAGCGGUGAAAUGCGUAGAUAUAUGGAAGAACACCAGUGGCGAAGGCGGCUGUCUGGUCUGUAACUGACGCUGAGGCUCGAAAGUAUGGGUAGCAAACAGGAUUAGAUACCCUGGUAGUCCAUACCGUAAACGAUGAAUGCUAAGUGUUGGAGGGUUUCCGCCCUUCAGUGCUGCAGCUAACGCAUUAAGCAUUCCGCCUGGGGAGUACGGCCGCAAGGCUGAAACUCAAAGGAAUUGACGGGGGCCCGCACAAGCGGUGGAGCAUGUGGUUUAAUUCGAAGCUACGCGAAGAACCUUACCAGGUCUUGACAUACUAUGCAAAUCUAAGAGAUUAGACGUUCCCUUCGGGGACAUGGAUACAGGUGGUGCAUGGUUGUCGUCAGCUCGUGUCGUGAGAUGUUGGGUUAAGUCCCGCAACGAGCGCAACCCUUAUUAUCAGUUGCCAGCAUUAAGUUGGGCACUCUGGUGAGACUGCCGGUGACAAACCGGAGGAAGGUGGGGAUGACGUCAAAUCAUCAUGCCCCUUAUGACCUGGGCUACACACGUGCUACAAUGGAUGGUACAACGAGUUGCGAACUCGCGAGAGUAAGCUAAUCUCUUAAAGCCAUUCUCAGUUCGGAUUGUAGGCUGCAACUCGCCUACAUGAAGUCGGAAUCGCUAGUAAUCGCGGAUCAGCAUGCCGCGGUGAAUACGUUCCCGGGCCUUGUACACACCGCCCGUCACACCAUGAG